CGGGACACGUGGUAUCCUGUCUGAAUAUGGGGGGACCAUCCUCCAAGGCUAAAUACUCCUGACUGACCGAUAGUGAACCAGUACCGUGAGGGAAAGGCGAAAAGAACCCCGGCGAGGGGAGUGAAAAAGAACCUGAAACCGUGUACGUACAAGCAGUGGGAGCACGCUUAGGCGUGUGACUGCGUACCUUUUGUAUAAUGGGUCAGCGACUUAUAUUCUGUAGCAAGGUUAACCGAAUAGGGGAGCCGAAGGGAAACCGAGUCUUAACUGGGCGUUAAGUUGCAGGGUAUAGACCCGAAACCCGGUGAUCUAGCCAUGGGCAGGUUGAAGGUUGGGUAACACUAACUGGAGGACCGAACCGACUAAUGUUGAAAAAUUAGCGGAUGACUUGUGGCUGGGGGUGAAAGGCCAAUCAAACCGGGAGAUAGCUGGUUCUCCCCGAAAGCUAUUUAGGUAGCGCCUCGUGAAUUCAUCUCCGGGGGUAGAGCACUGUUUCGGCAAGGGGGUCAUCCCGACUUACCAACCCGAUGCAAACUGCGAAUACCGGAGAAUGUUAUCACGGGAGACACACGGCGGGUGCUAACGUCCGUCGUGAAGAGGGAAACAACCCAGACCGCCAGCUAAGGUCCCAAAGUCAUGGUUAAGUGGGAAACGAUGUGGGAAGGCCCAGACAGCCAGGAUGUUGGCUUAGAAGCAGCCAUCAUUUAAAGAAAGCGUAAUAGCUCACUGGUCGAGUCGGCCUGCGCGGAAGAUGUAACGGGGCUAAACCAUGCACCGAAGCUGCGGCAGCGACACUAUGUGUUGUUGGGUAGGGGAGCGUUCUGUAAGCCUGUGAAGGUGUACUGUGAGGUAUGCUGGAGGUAUCAGAAGUGCGAAUGCUGACAUAAGUAACGAUAAAGCGGGUGAAAAGCCCGCUCGCCGGAAGACCAAGGGUUCCUGUCCAACGUUAAUCGGGGCAGGGUGAGUCGACUCCUAAGGCGAGGCCGAAAGGCGUAGUCGAUGGGAAACAGGUUAAUAUUCCUGUACUUGGUGUUACUGCGAAGGGGGGACGGAGAAGGCUAUGUUGGCCGGGCGACGGUUGUCCCGGUUUAAGCGUGUAGGCUGGUUUUCCAGGCAAAUCCGGAAAACUAAGGCUGAGGCGUGAUGACGAGGCACUACGGUGCUGAAGCAACAAAUGCCCUGCUUCCAGGAAAAGCCUCUAAGCAUCAGGUAACAUCAAAUCGUACCCCAAACCGACACAGGUGGUCAGGUAGAGAAUACCAAGGCGCUUGAGAGAACUCGGGUGAAGGAACUAGGCAAAAUGGUGCCGUAACUUCGGGAGAAGGCACGCUGAUAUGUAGGUGAAGUCCCUCGCGGAUGGAGCUGAAAUCAGUCGAAGAUACCAGCUGGCUGCAACUGUUUAUUAAAAACACAGCACUGUGCAAACACGAAAGUGGACGUAUACGGUGUGACGCCUGCCCGGUGCCGGAAGGUUAAUUGAUGGGGUCAGCGCAAGCGAAGCUCUUGAUCGAAGCCCCGGUAAACGGCGGCCGUAACUAUAACGGUCCUAAGGUAGCGAAAUUCCUUGUCGGGUAAGUUCCGACCUGCACGAAUGGCGUAAUGAUGGCCAGGCUGUCUCCACCCGAGACUCAGUGAAAUUGAACUCGCUGUGAAGAUGCAGUGUACCCGCGGCAAGACGGAAAGACCCCGUGAACCUUUACUAUAGCUUGACACUGAACAUUGAGCCUUGAUGUGUAGGAUAGGUGGGAGGCUUUGAAGUGUGGACGCCAGUCUGCAUGGAGCCGACCUUGAAAUACCACCCUUUAAUGUUUGAUGUUCUAACGUUGACCCGUAAUCCGGGUUGCGGACAGUGUCUGGUGGGUAGUUUGACUGGGGCGGUCUCCUCCUAAAGAGUAACGGAGGAGCACGAAGGUUGGCUAAUCCUGGUCGGACAUCAGGAGGUUAGUGCAAUGGCAUAAGCCAGCUUGACUGCGAGCGUGACGGCGCGAGCAGGUGCGAAAGCAGGUCAUAGUGAUCCGGUGGUUCUGAAUGGAAGGGCCAUCGCUCAACGGAUAAAAGGUACUCCGGGGAUAACAGGCUGAUACCGCCCAAGAGUUCAUAUCGACGGCGGUGUUUGGCACCUCGAUGUCGGCUCAUCACAUCCUGGGGCUGAAGUAGGUCCCAAGGGUAUGGCUGUUCGCCAUUUAAAGUGGUACGCGAGCUGGGUUUAGAACGUCGUGAGACAGUUCGGUCCCUAUCUGCCGUGGGCGCUGGAGAACUGAGGGGGGCUGCUCCUAGUACGAGAGGACCGGAGUGGACGCAUCACUGGUGUUCGGGUUGUCAUGCCAAUGGCACUGCCCGGUAGCUAAAUGCGGAAGAGAUAAGUGCUGAAAGCAUCUAAGCACGAAACUUGCCCCGAGAUGAGUUCUCCCUGACUCCUUGAGAGUCCUGAAGGAACGUUGAAGACGACGACGUUGAUAGG
Molecule: ribosomal RNA, 2461 nt
Filed under: Shigella dysenteriae
Lineage: Bacteria; Pseudomonadati; Pseudomonadota; Gammaproteobacteria; Enterobacterales; Enterobacteriaceae
Description: bacterial LSU rRNA
Rfam family: Bacterial large subunit ribosomal RNA
Source: RNAcentral